Molecule: long non-coding RNA, 1689 nt
Filed under: Heterocephalus glaber (naked mole-rat)
Lineage: Eukaryota; Metazoa; Chordata; Mammalia; Rodentia; Bathyergidae
Description: lncRNA (ENSHGLG00000043580.1)
Source: RNAcentral
CUCUGUUGUAAUAUCAUUCCUCACCAUUUACAAAGCCUCCAUAUUCAUAUUUUCUAAUCAUAUAUAAAAGUAGGCAAUAUUAGUGUAUUGUGCACUGUUAUAUAUUUACUCUGGUAGCUGAGAAAAGCUUUCAGCAUAGGACUUCUUUUCUCAUGUCACCAAACCUUACCCAAAGUCCUGUGUGGUAACAUGGUAAUUCAGAAGACUUGAGAUGAUUAUCAACGUCAAAUCCUAAUUGCCUUAGUACAGUAAUACUGUAAUAAAUAAAUGGGAACUGCUUUUAAUUGUAUUUUCUCUCCCCUUACUCUAUGCACUGAAUAUGCAAAGCAGUUCACUUGUAUUUUAUACAGCAAGUAUAUUCAACUUUGAAAUUCUGGGGCCAGAGGAUUUUGUAAAUUCUUCAAAGCCUUCUUUAAAAUUCCCACUUACCACUGCCUCCGGUCUGGACCAAGCCCCAGAGUCAAGCUUCAUCCUAACAACCUUGUUACUUCUCAUUUAGAGACCACUCUGCUGAUCAGCACUUCCCCACCUGGAUUUCCAAGGAUUAUCUCCUCCAACUUUUCUAAUUCCUGGAAGCAACUUUCCAAGAUCAAAUCAUAUAUAACUGCCUAAAGAAAAAUGAGCAUACACCACAAAACCUGUUUCUUUCAGUAGUUGUGCAUAAACUGGCAGAGAGUAGUCAGUAAAGAAAAAAAAGAUAAUCAUGUUACUUAUGUUAUUGAAACACUUCCAUAUGACGAUAACCUAUCACUCUUGAAGAACUUAAUAUCAGCCUCUUUCAAACAUUAUUUAUGGUUAUCUCAAUCAUUUAUUUGGAUUUCUGCUUUAAAAAAUCAUGAACUAUUAAAGCAUACAACAAAUUGAAAGAUAAAGGUGACAUCAAAGUCUAGAGAAUUAAAUGCUUCAUUCUAGUAUUAGAAUUUAGUUAUAAAAUCACAUCAUGGCCUGUUAUACAAAGAUAUUAAGAAAUGGUAGAUUUAAGAAAUAAGCAUGCUUUCAUUUGUAGAUUAUCUACUCAUUUCAAAUUAUAUCAAAUUAAAGCAUACAUUUCUUACCAAACACAAUUAUUACUAUGCAACAUGUUUUGCUAGUUGAGUUUGCUACGGGUUAAUUUUUUAAAAUAUAAUUCAAAAAAACUGUCCUCAAAGCAGGUGUACACUCAAAAAUCAUUUAGAGAUACAAAUAUUGUACAUCAUUGCUAGUUCCUAAACAUGACUAUGGUACAACUGAUCAUUCCUGCUCUAAGAAUAAAAUAGUCAUACUUCAUAUACAAAUUAUUAACUGUGCCUACAGUAAUAUAAUUCUACAAGAAGUUUCAGGCUGAAAAGAAUAGAGGUUUAAAUUGAAGGAACAGUUUGGACUUUUAAUAAUUAUAUUUCACGGGAAAUAAUAUUUCUAAAUUACUGCAUUGCUUAAAUAUAAUAAAUAUGGUUUUGGAUUACCUUAUUAAAUAUAGUUCUUUGAAUUGAUGACUAAAAUACCAAGAUAUUUUGUUAUAAAUGGGCUCCAUGAUUCAGAAGGUGUUCUAAAGUAUUUUAAAGUAUUGACUCAACACUGCAUCUAGUUUUCAUAUAUAUGUUCCUUGCAUAACAAUAAAUUGUUCUUAUGAGAAUAUUUAGACUUUGCAGUUUACCUGGAAAUAGUUUCAAAGAUAUUUUAGAAAUGACAUAAUUCCAAUGUAUAUGCAGU